UACGGAGGGUGCAAGCGUUAUCCGGAUUUAUUGGGUUUAAAGGGUGCGUAGGUGGAAUUAUAAGUCAGUGGUGAAAUUUUGCGGCUCAACCGUAACACUGCCAUUGAAACUGUAGUUCUUGAGAGAAUUCGAAGUAUGCGGAAUGAGUAAUGUAGCGGUGAAAUGCAUAGAUAUUACUCAGAACACCGAUUGCGUAGGCAGCGUACUAGGAUUUUUCUGACACUGAGGCACGAAAGCGUGGGUAGCGAACAGG
RNAcentral lists this ribosomal RNA (253 nucleotides) under uncultured bacterium. RNAcentral describes it as "partial 16S ribosomal RNA". It matches the Rfam family "Bacterial small subunit ribosomal RNA", at positions 524 to 776 of the family's 1533-position model. The record is from RNAcentral.